GUCACUUCGUUCAGCGAUUUCUCUUUAGCAAGGAUCGGCUCCAGUCACGUCUCACGGAGAAACGAAGUAAAAGAAAGAUAGAAGUCCUCAGGCCAAUGCUGAAUAAACAGAGAGUGACUGAUUGAUGACUGUGGAAAUUAGGCCAAGUGAUUGCACCGGUGAUUUAGAAGUUUACUCAGGUAUUUGGAGCAAGAUCACAGGCCAUCUCCACCGGGUACUAAAAUCCAGCCCGCCGCCAACCAGUGGAAGGUGAACAAGGCUGACAGUCAAAUUGCUCCGAAGUCGUUCCUGGUUCCGGUUUUCAGACACGGGAAGCUCUCCUCUGGGUUUGCUAUGAGUUCAUGUGCUCAGAUGACUGGGCUGAUCUGUGAAACAUGUUUUCUCUUUUGUUUGUUUUCUGAUUGUCAAGCCUGCACUCUGCUUAGGGUCAUUCUUGGGUCUGCCCAGUACUGAAUGGAAGGGGGGCAAUUGAGCCAGGUGCUGCAAGGGGAGCUGGAUGUGUUCCGGUGAUGUCACUGGGGCCUUCCAAGCCAAUGCCAUGAGCCUCUCAUCGAAGGCCUUUCCACUCAAAACAGGAGACCACCAAAAAAAGUAAAGACCUUUUUAAUUUAAAAAUACAGGUAUUGUUAAUUCAGCUGUUUACAUUCAGUAAAAAUAAAUUCUAACUUUGGACUC
Molecule: long non-coding RNA, 675 nt
Organism: Echinops telfairi (small Madagascar hedgehog)
Lineage: Eukaryota; Metazoa; Chordata; Mammalia; Afrosoricida; Tenrecidae
Exons: 2
Source: RefSeq, a predicted model, not a curated record